AACGAACGCUGGCGGCAUGCCUAACACAUGCAAGUCGAACGAGACCUUCGGGUCUAGUGGCGCACGGGUGCGUAACGCGUGGGAACCUGCCUUUAGGUUCGGAAUAACUCAGAGAAAUUUGAGCUAAUACCGGAUGAUGUCUUCGGACCAAAGAUUUAUCGCCUUUAGAUGGGCCCGCGUUGGAUUAGCUAGUUGGUGGGGUAAAGGCCUACCAAGGCGACGAUCCAUAGCUGGUCUGAGAGGAUGAUCAGCCACACUGGGACUGAGACACGGCCCAGACUCCUACGGGAGGCAGCAGUGGGGAAUAUUGGACAAUGGGCGAAAGUCUGAUCCAGCAAUGCCGCGUGAGUGAUGAAGGCCUUAGGGUUGUAAAGCUCUUUUACCCGAGAUGAUAAUGACAGUAUCGGGAGAAUAAGCUCCGGCUAACUCCGUG
This 433-nucleotide ribosomal RNA is filed under the name uncultured bacterium. RNAcentral's name for it is "partial 16S ribosomal RNA". It matches the Rfam family "Bacterial small subunit ribosomal RNA", at positions 29 to 507 of the family's 1533-position model. The record is from RNAcentral.